This 72-nucleotide transfer RNA is filed under the name Camelus ferus (Wild Bactrian camel). It matches the Rfam family "tRNA". From Rfam's summary of the family: Transfer RNA (tRNA) molecules are approximately 80 nucleotides in length. Their secondary structure includes four short double-helical elements and three loops (D, anti-codon, and T loops). The record is from Rfam by way of RNAcentral. Lineage: Eukaryota; Metazoa; Chordata; Mammalia; Artiodactyla; Camelidae.
GGAGGAAUAGCUCAGUGGUAGAGUGCAUGCUUAGCAGGCACGAAGUCCUGGGUUCAAUCCCCAACACUUCCA